GUUUAGUUCUCAUUCAGCAAUCAUAAUGAUUAUAUGGUUAAGCAAUGCAUCGCCAAAACACCACACACAAGCAAAAAUAAAUCAGCCGACUCAUCGCAAACGGCAAAAUCAAUUUACACGGCCGUGAAGCGAUCCGAUACAAACCGUCAUUUCAAAAGCAACACAAUUGAGUUCACCCCUACCGGAGUGCAAUAGGCCUUUGCGGCGAAACCCGGCUGUCAUCGACUUUAUUUGACAAGCACACGCACACUGAAGCUCAGCCCGAAACCAACCGCCAAACGUUCAACAGCCGCGCAAUUUGCCUGCCAGGCAGGUGAAAGUCUCCCAUUUUGAGAUUUUGGUCGACUCUUGCUGCUAGAAACACGUGUAUUCGGUGUGGCUGGAGUACAGGGCCACGAUAAUUGGAAUCAGAACAGGCCGGAGUUCGUUUUUUUGAGGCCCACUUUGCCGAAAAGCUGACCACGUAACACGAGCACGAGCAAGAAGAACCGAAUCUACGAAUUACCGGCGGCAUAAGCGGUCCUGAGCAGCAUCCGGCCAUCCAGACAAGAUCCUCGUUAAUCGCAGAUUGAAAACACGAUCGACCCGGAUAGAAUCGUCCGGACAGGAAAAUUGUGCCGAAAGAAGCCCCUGAACAGGGGCUUUUCUUUUUCCUUGUUUCGGUCUCGAUUGGCAGAUCAGCGAGCUGCGGUAAAUCCGGCAGGGAAUCGAAUCUCAAGGAGGUGAAAUUUGUGUGCGCUGCCAGAGCACAACGCGGACAAGGCAGGCUACGGUUGCUUCGAGACGGGAGCCCCGGAGUGCAAGUAGCUGGAGACUGGGAGAAACUCGGAGACGUCGGCAACGGAAACGGCAGGACCAAGUCCCUCGGAGGGAUCCCAUCCAGCAUCCCGGUCGCGCUGGACGGCCAGAGGGGUCCCCAGCGGAGGGACUGGUGUUUGUGUGCAAAGUUGGUGAGCGGCUUGCGAGGAUUGAGACGGCAUGAAUAUCGCUGUGCAGAAAACCUUAGGGGGACGCCCCGUAGAGUCGAACCGUGAGUAGAAAUUACGAGAAAAUUAUGUUAGCCUGUAAGAAGAAAGAAGUAGAGAAGUAGAAGUAGGAUGGAGAGAGUAUAGAUGAAGAGAUAAGAAGGCGGUAGGAGGAAGAUUAGGGCAAAUGCCCCAAAUAUAUGUAUUGAUUUGAGAUUUGUGGCUUUAUUUGUCUUGUUGGUGCUUUAGCCCUCCAGUUUUGUUUGCUUUGUGUCCACUUUGGUAGUUCUGCUCUACCCGCUACCGGAAACUCGCAAUACUGGCGCCCAACUGAAAAUCCACAAUUAAAACUACCGUUUAGCGAAAAUUUUUGGUUUGUUCAGUUAUAUUUUGGUUUUGUGUUUUGAUUAUCCGGCCUAUGAUAGUCAAAUUUUACUUUAACUCUUACGCAUUAUUAUCGAUAUGGAUUAUACGCAUUUGACCGACGAAGAGGUGACCUACGAGUUAGCUUUACGCCACGUAGUCAACCUAGGUCCAACCACCCAUCGAGGUAAAAUCCUCCGUCUCAAGGCUCUCGUUCAAGAGGAGACCUUGAGAGAUAGUAAGCCCACUAGCUCAGACCACAUAA
Molecule: long non-coding RNA, 1593 nt
Organism: Armigeres subalbatus
Lineage: Eukaryota; Metazoa; Arthropoda; Insecta; Diptera; Culicidae
Exons: 3
Source: RefSeq, a predicted model, not a curated record